RNAcentral lists this ribosomal RNA (253 nucleotides) under uncultured bacterium. RNAcentral describes it as "partial 16S ribosomal RNA". It matches the Rfam family "Bacterial small subunit ribosomal RNA", at positions 524 to 776 of the family's 1533-position model. The record is from RNAcentral.
GACAGAGGUGCCAAGCGUUAGGCGGAAUCACUGGGCUUAAAGCGUAUGUAGGCGGAUUUGUAAGUACCUUGUGAAAUCCCACGGCUCAACCGUGGAACUGCUCGGUAUACUGCUUAUCUUGAGCCACUUAGGGGCUACCGGAACAAAUGGUGGAGCGGUGAAAUGCGUAGAUAUCAUUUGGAACGCCAAUGGCGAAGGCAGCUUGCUGGGACGGUACUGACGCUGAGGCGCGAAAGCGUGGGGAGCAAACAGG